UUAUCGUUUAUUUGAUAKSACCUUACUACUUGGGUAACCGUGKKAAUUCUAKAGMUAAUACAUGYKGGAAAGCCCSACUUCYGAAGGGMUGUGUUUAUUARAUUCAAAGCCAACGCCCCCUGGGCUCACUGGUGAUUCAUGAUAACCGCUCGAAUCGCACGGCCUUGCGCCGGCGAUGGUUCAUUCAAAUUUCUUCCCUAUCAACUUUCGAUGUUUGGGUAGUGGCCAAACAUGGUUGCRACGGGUAACGGAGGGUUAGGGCUCGACCCCGGAGAAGGAGCCUGAGAGACGGCUACUACAUCCAAGGAAGGCAGCAGGCGCGCAAAUUACCCAAUCCCGACACGGGGAGGUAGUGACAAUAAAUACCGAUAUAGGGCUCUUUUGGGUCUUAUAAUUGGAAUGAGUACAAUUUAAAUCCCUUAACGAGGAACAAUUGGAGGGCAAGUCUGGUGCCAGCAGCCGCGGUAAUUCCAGCUCCAAUAGCGUAUAUUAAAGUUGUUGUGGUUAAAAAGCCCGUAGUUGAACCUUGGGCCUGGCUGGCCGGUCCGCCUCACCGCGUGCACUGGUCCGGCCGGKCCUUUCCCCCCGCGGAACCCCAUGCCCUUCGCUGGGCGUGGCGGGGAAACGGGACGUUUACUUUGAAAAAAUUAGAGUGCUCCAGGCAGGCCUAUGCUCGAAUACAUUAGCAUGGAAUAAUGAAAUAGGACGCGCGGUUCUAUUUUGUUGGUUUCUAGGACCGCCGUAAUGAUUGAUAGGGACAGUCGGGGGCGUCAGUAUUCAACCGUCAGAGGUGAAAUUCUUGGACCGGUU
RNAcentral lists this ribosomal RNA (810 nucleotides) under Ophiocordyceps unilateralis. RNAcentral's name for it is "SSU rRNA". It matches the Rfam family "Eukaryotic small subunit ribosomal RNA", at positions 110 to 941 of the family's 1831-position model. The record is from RNAcentral. Lineage: Eukaryota; Fungi; Ascomycota; Sordariomycetes; Hypocreales; Ophiocordycipitaceae.